This 336-nucleotide unclassified non-coding RNA is filed under the name fungal sp. RNAcentral describes it as "partial internal transcribed spacer region". The record is from RNAcentral. Lineage: Eukaryota; Fungi.
AAAGUCCUCCGUGAACCUUCAUCCUGCUCUUGUAACCCGCGUAGUUCGCAAUCUCUGAUAAAUCAUAGCCCGGAAAGUUGUAGUGAUUCAGAGACCUCUAGUUACAAUCGAGCGGUAGUUCUAUAGGCAAUGUUUCCCCAAGCAGUCAGUGUCGGAAAGUGUCAUUGAUUGUGCAAGGAUAGCGCUUCUACGAUUCCUGUAGACCGUACACUCGGGCAGGAGCUUUGCCAAAGGGUCCCCAUGCCCCCUAAUAACCCCACAGUUUAAUGUGAAGCUCAAUGUAAUACAUUGGGUAAAAAAACCGAACAACUGUUAACAAUGGAUAUCUUGGUUCUC